RNAcentral lists this long non-coding RNA (1003 nucleotides) under Arabidopsis lyrata. RNAcentral's name for it is "long non-coding RNA (ALYR_LNC002548)". The record is from RNAcentral. Lineage: Eukaryota; Viridiplantae; Streptophyta; Magnoliopsida; Brassicales; Brassicaceae.
UUCUUCUUUUUUUUUUUUGUCAAAGGGUUUUCAUUUUUAUUGACUUUUUGUGAGUAUAGAUGGAAACAACAUAAUGGGCUAAGCCCUACAAAGUGGUUACAUAAAUUUAAAAACUGAAAUUAAAGAGGUCCAACCCAGCUAAAGGGAAACCUUACCCAACUUGCAAAGAGGCCCAAUAAGCAAAAUCGAUUGGACCAAAUGCCCAAACCGAAAAAGCCCACAACCAACCCAAGCCAAAAUUAGGUCAAGCGAAGAAGCUGUUCCGCCGCCGACUGAGACAACCGGAGUCCGCACAUGACGGAUCCUGGCCAAGAUCCGUCAAGUCCCUACUCGGCCGGAGACCGAGCGACCGGAGAUCCAACGCCGGGAACCGAAACUCAAACUUGACCCUUGCUGGAGAACACAUCGGAGAAGCUUUGCCAACCAAAAGACGCCGGCCUACACACACCGGGAAUCUAACGCAGACGAAGACCACUCACCUCACUUAUACGACUGCUCCGCCGUGACCAAAGACAAAGGAAGCAAGCCUCACUUAUAUGUUUCUUCUUGCUUGUGAUAAUUUAUCAUCUAAGAGACAAAGAACCACACGCACACACCAUUAGAAAACCAAGGCAACUGAACAUGAAGAAAAAGGAGGUUGCGUUUCCGUUCAUAACACCACGCUUCCAAAUAUGAAUCGACCGAUUCCCAGACGCUUCCAAUGUGUGAUUUUUUAGAACUGCGCUUCCGUCACGUUUCCGAGCGCUUCCUGACGUUUUCGUACCCGGUUCCGGUUCCGAAGCGGGAAGCGGAGGUUGGAUGCCGAUUCCGUGCUUCCUAGAUUUAAACUGUCAUGUUUACCAAAAAAAAAAAAAAUUUAAACUGUCAUGUUUACCAAAAAAAAAAAAAAAUUUAAACUGUCAUGAUUGGUAGUUGGUACAUACACACACACAAGACAAGAAAAAGAAAACUUAGAAAAAUAAACACAUGGUUAUUAACUGGACAACGAAGAUGCUAAUAAACU